This 429-nucleotide ribosomal RNA is filed under the name Fusobacteriota bacterium. RNAcentral's name for it is "Fusobacteria bacterium partial 16S ribosomal RNA". It matches the Rfam family "Bacterial small subunit ribosomal RNA", at positions 355 to 776 of the family's 1533-position model. Lineage: Bacteria; Fusobacteriati; Fusobacteriota. The record is from RNAcentral.
UGGGGAAUAUUGCGCAAUGGGCGAAAGCCUGACGCAGCGACGCCGCGUGAGGGAUGAAGGUUUUCGGAUCGUAAACCCCUGUCAGAAGGGAAGAAACCGCACUGUGCUAAUCAGCAGUGCCUUGACGGUACCUUCAAAGGAAGCACCGGCUAACUCCGUGCCCGCAGCCGCGGUAAUACGGAGGGUGCAAGCGUUAAUCGGAAUUACUGGGCGUAAAGCGCACGUAGGCUGCUUUGUAAGUCAGGGGUGAAAUCCCACGGCUCAACCGUGGAACUGCCUUUGAUACUGCUUAGCUUGAAUCCGGGAGAGGGUGGCGGAAUUCCAGGUGUAGGGGUGAAAUCCGUAGAUAUCUGGAGGAACAUCAGUGGCGAAGGCGGCCACCUGGACCGGUAUUGACGCUGAGGUGCGAAAGCGUGGGGAGCAAACAGG